GUAAGAACGGCCGCUAUUGGGAUUGCUGCAUUCAUGAAGACUGAAAACAAACAAACAAGACGUUCGAGUUGCAAAAUCAAAGACAGGUCCGGCACAGACAGACAGACAGACAGGAGAUGGCGAUAAUGCUGAAGGAAACGCUUCAGGAGGCUCACUGGAGACAGAUGUGUAGAGGGCGAAGGUCUUCAGGCUGCUUGGUGGCCACGAAGUACUGCACUGGGGCCAGGACGGCGAUGACCGUGGCCCCGAUCAAGGCACUUACUCCCAGGAGGUAAUAGAGGAG
Long non-coding RNA from Brienomyrus brachyistius, 283 nucleotides. RefSeq lists it as uncharacterized. Lineage: Eukaryota; Metazoa; Chordata; Actinopteri; Osteoglossiformes; Mormyridae. The transcript has 3 exons. The record is from RefSeq and is a predicted model, not a curated record.